UACAGAGGUGGCAAGCGUUGUUCGGAAUUACUGGGCGUAAAGUGCGCGCAGGCGGUCUUCCAAGUCAGUGGUGAAAGCCCGGAGCUCAACUCCGGAACUGCCAUUGAAACUGUAAGACUUGAGGAUGAGAGAGGUGAGUGGAAUUCCCAGUGUAGAGGUGAAAUUCGUAGAUAUUGGGAAGAACACCGGUGGCGAAGGCGGCUCACUGGCUCAUAUCUGACGCUCAGGCGCGACAGCGUGGGGAUCAAACAGG
This 253-nucleotide ribosomal RNA is filed under the name uncultured bacterium. RNAcentral's name for it is "partial 16S ribosomal RNA". It matches the Rfam family "Bacterial small subunit ribosomal RNA", at positions 524 to 776 of the family's 1533-position model. The record is from RNAcentral.